This 450-nucleotide ribosomal RNA is filed under the name uncultured bacterium. RNAcentral's name for it is "bacterial SSU rRNA". It matches the Rfam family "Bacterial small subunit ribosomal RNA", at positions 354 to 796 of the family's 1533-position model. The record is from RNAcentral.
GUGGGGAAUAUUGGACAAUGGGCGAAAGCCUGAUCCAGCCAUGCCGCGUGUGUGAAGAAGGUCUUCGGAUUGUAAUGCACUUUAAGUUGGGAGGAAGGGCAGUAAGUUAAUACCUUGCUGUUUUGACGUUACCAACAGAAUGAGCACCGGCUAACUUCGUGCCAGCAGCCGCGGUAAUACGAAGGGUGCAAGCGUUAAUCGGAAUUACUGGGCGUAAAGCGCGCGUAGGUGGUUCAGCAAGUUGAAGGUGAAAUCCCCGGGCUCAACCUGGGAACUGCCUCCAAAACUACUGAGCUAGAGUACGGUAGAGGGUAGUGGAAUUUCCUGUGUAGCGGUGAAAUGCGUAGAUAUAGGAAGGAACACCAGUGGCGAAGGCGACUACCUGGACUGAUACUGACACUGAGGUGCGAAAGCGUGGGGAGCAAACAGGAUUAGAAACCCGGGUAGUCC